UACGUAGGGUGCGAGCGUUAAUCGGAAUUACUGGGCGUAAAGCGUGCGCAGGCGGUUUUUCAAGUCGGAUGUGAAAUCCCCGGGCUUAACCUGGGAAUGGCAUUUGGGACUGCAAGGCUGGAGUGCGGCAGAGGAGACUGGAAUUCCUGGUGUAGCAGUGAAAUGCGUAGAUAUCAGGAGGAACACCAAUAGCGAAGGCAGCUCGCUGGGACGGUACUGACGCUAAGGCGCGAAAGCGUGGGGAGCGAACAGG
This 253-nucleotide ribosomal RNA is filed under the name uncultured bacterium. RNAcentral describes it as "partial 16S ribosomal RNA". It matches the Rfam family "Bacterial small subunit ribosomal RNA", at positions 524 to 776 of the family's 1533-position model. The record is from RNAcentral.